RNAcentral lists this ribosomal RNA (506 nucleotides) under uncultured bacterium. Its description in RNAcentral is "partial 16S ribosomal RNA". It matches the Rfam family "Bacterial small subunit ribosomal RNA", at positions 28 to 523 of the family's 1533-position model. The record is from RNAcentral.
GAUGAACGCUAGCUACAGGCUUAACACAUGCAAGUCGAGGGGUAACGAGAGGAAAGCUUGCUUUCCUUGUCGACGACCGGCGCACGGGUGAGUAACGCGUAUCCAACCUGCCCCCAACUAAGGAAUAACCUUGCGAAAGUAAGACUAAUACCUUAUAAUUUCCUCAGAUGUCAUCUGACGAGGAAUAAAGAUUUAUCGGUUGUGGAUGGGGAUGCGUCUGAUUAGCUUGUUGGCGGGGUAACGGCCCACCAAGGCAACGAUCAGUAGGGGUUCUGAGCGGAAGGUCCCCCAGAUUGGAACUGUGCAACGGUCCAAACUCCUACAGGAGGCAGCAGUGAGGAAUAUUGGUCAAUGGGCGAAAGCCUGAACCAGCCAAGUAGCGUGCAGGAUGACGGCCCUAUGGGUUGUAAACUGCUUUUAUACAGGAAUAAAGUUAGCCACGUGUGGUUAUUUGUAGGUACUGUAUGAAUAAGGACCGGCUAAUUCCGUGCCAGCCGCCGCCGUAA